Anguilla rostrata (American eel) is the source of this 1025-nucleotide long non-coding RNA. RefSeq lists it as uncharacterized. NCBI's taxonomy places the organism in Eukaryota, Metazoa, Chordata, Actinopteri, Anguilliformes, Anguillidae. The record is from RefSeq and is a predicted model, not a curated record. The transcript is spliced from 2 exons.
UCUGAAGCCCCCCUCCCUCUCGCUGUCUACUGAUCAACUUGGUGGGGUUUUGCCAUAGUGGAUAUAGGAUUAAUUUUUAUGGUGCUCUAUACUGCCCUACAAAGCCUAACUGCAGUAACUACGCAAAGGGUGAAACUGAGAAAAAUGGCUUUAAAGUAUUUUAACUGGCCAGCCAAAUGUGUUAUAGGUAUAUCAGUGAUAUUGCACUAAUUGUACAUGUAUUCAUGAGAUAAUUUUUAUGCCCAAAAACCAUGACAGCUGAUUUGACCUUUGACCCCAAAAAUGUAGUUACUGCACUCUGCCUUUGCAUUGCCUUAAAUGGUUCUAAGAGCAAUGCAAAAGCAAAGUGCAGUAACUACAAUGUUCUCAGCUUUUAUAUUGUGUUUUCAGUGAACAAAAACUAUUUUGACACUGAUUUUGUUAUAAUUGUACUAAUUGUAAUUCUACUUAUGGAUUUGUGCAUGUUUAAUUAAGUCUGGACAAAUUGAGAAUUUUAGACGUCAUAUUUUAGUCUUAAUAUCAUUUCAUUUCACUUUUUACUUAUUCACCUAUCUAGAUAAUUACUUUCCUAUCAAUUAAACUUUGCAUCAUCAUCUUCAAUUUCACCAUUGUUGUCACCGCCACCACUGUUGUUGCCUUGAUGACAAUCACAUGAAUAAUUUUCAUUAUCCUUGUCUUUACUAUUUAACACAAUGAAUAAAUACAAGGCUACACUGAUUCACAGUAAAAUUUGUUUAUUAUAUUACAUGUUUUAAACAGCGGCGACUUGUGAGCUGAAAAUUGGUGGGGCGCAAAACUUUCCUUUAAACUAAUCAUUGAUCUCAAACUGUUUUAAUUAAUUUUCAGUGAUUAACAAGCAUGCAAACGAUCUGACUAAUCAAUUGGAAAGUGACACACAGCCGAGUAGCCUAGGCCUUAUAGCCUACAUUUAUUUUCAUUUGCAGUAUGAAAUUGUGCACAUUUUUAAUCAACAUUAUUUGCGGAUACAUGCACUUCUUUCUCCGCACUCGUAUUCAUGGCAAAUA